This 335-nucleotide RNase P RNA is filed under the name Alphaproteobacteria bacterium. Its description in RNAcentral is "RNase P RNA component class A". It matches the Rfam family "Bacterial RNase P class A". Rfam says of the family: Ribonuclease P (RNase P) is a ubiquitous endoribonuclease, found in archaea, bacteria and eukarya as well as chloroplasts and mitochondria. Its best characterised activity is the generation of mature 5'-ends of tRNAs by cleaving the 5'-leader elements of precursor-tRNAs. The record is from RNAcentral. Lineage: Bacteria; Pseudomonadati; Pseudomonadota; Alphaproteobacteria.
UCAGAUGCACGGGGCAUGGCCGUUUAUCGCAAGAUAGAUGGAGGAAAGUCCGGACUGCACGGGACAGCGUACUGGCCAAUAUACCAGGCGGGGUGACCCGACGAUUAGAGCAACAGUGACGUAAACGAUUAAAUUCGAGUGAAACGGGCAAUCUCUGCGCGCAGCAAUUUCAAAUAGGCCCCCUAUAUGUGUCCCGCAUCGGGGGCGGGUAGAAAGCUGGACAUAUUAUAGUAAUAUAGUAUGCAGAUUAAUCAUGCCCUCUACCGCGGGGUGGUAUCCGAAAGAUACUGGCCCGAUGGCAGAACAGAAUCCGGCUUAUAUGUUCAUCUGAAAAC